GUAGGGGGCAAGCGUUGUCCGGAUUUAUUGGGCGUAAAGAGCGUGUAGGCGGCCAGACAGGUCCGUUGUGAGAACUAGAGGCUUAACCUCUAGACGUCGAUGGAAACCGUUUGGCUAGAGUCCGGAAGAGGAGAAUGGAAUUCCUGGUGUAGCGGUGAAAUGCGCAGAUAUCAGGAAGAACACCCGUGGCUAAGGCGGUUCUCUAGUACGGUACUGACGCUGAGACGCGAAAGCGUGGGGAGCGAACAGGAUUAGAUACCCUGGUAGUCCACGCCGUAAACGAUGGGUGCUAGGUGUGGGGGGUGUCGACUCCCUCCGUGCCGAAGCUAACGCAUUAAGCACCCCGCCUGGGGAGUACGGCCGCAAGGCUA
This 371-nucleotide ribosomal RNA is filed under the name uncultured bacterium. Its description in RNAcentral is "bacterial SSU rRNA". It matches the Rfam family "Bacterial small subunit ribosomal RNA", at positions 527 to 896 of the family's 1533-position model. The record is from RNAcentral.